RNAcentral lists this ribosomal RNA (305 nucleotides) under uncultured bacterium. RNAcentral's name for it is "bacterial SSU rRNA". It matches the Rfam family "Bacterial small subunit ribosomal RNA", at positions 335 to 638 of the family's 1533-position model. The record is from RNAcentral.
CUCCCUACGGGACGCAGCAGUGAGGAAUAUUGGUCAAUGGGCGGGAGCCUGAACCAGCCAUGCCGCGUGAAGGCGAGUGCCCUACGGGCGUUAAACUUCUUUUGUGCGGGAGCAAUAAGGGCCACGUGUGGCCCGAUGAGAGUACCGCACGAAUAAGCCACGGCUAACUACGUGCCAGCAGCCGCGGUAAUACGUAGGUGGCAAGCGUUAUCCGGAUUUAUUGGGUGUAAAGGGCGUGUAGGCGGGAAAGCAAGUCAGAUGUGAAAACUCAGGGCUCAACCCUGAGCCUGCAUUUGAAACUGUUU